UAGGGAAUCUUCGGCAAUGGGGGCAACCCUGACCGAGCAACGCCGCGUGAGUGAAGAAGGUUUUCGGAUCGUAAAGCUCUGUUGUAAGUCAAGAACGGGUGUGAGAGUGGAAAGUUCACACUGUGACGGUAGCUUACCAGAAAGGGACGGCUAACUACGUGCCAGCAGCCGCGGUAAUACGUAGGUCCCGAGCGUUGUCCGGAUUUAUUGGGCGUAAAGCGAGCGCAGGCGGUUUGAUAAGUCUGAAGUUAAAGGCUGUGGCUCAACCAUAGUUCGCUUUGGAAACUGUCAAACUUGGGUGCAGAAGGGGAGAGUGGAAUUCCAUGUGUAGCGGUGAAAUGCGUAGAUAUAUGGAGGAACACCGGUGGCGAAAGCGGCUCUCUGGUCUGUAACUGACGCUGAGGCUCGAAAGCGUGGGGAGCGAACAGGAUUAGAUACCCUGGUAGUCCACGCCGUAAACGAUGAGUGCUAGGUGUUGGAUCCUUUCCGGGGUUCAGUGCCGAAGCUAACGCAUUAAGCACUCCGCCUGGGGAGUACGACCGCAAGGUUGAAAC
Molecule: ribosomal RNA, 554 nt
Filed under: uncultured bacterium
Lineage: Bacteria
Description: partial 16S ribosomal RNA
Rfam family: Bacterial small subunit ribosomal RNA
Source: RNAcentral